RNAcentral lists this ribosomal RNA (449 nucleotides) under uncultured bacterium. RNAcentral describes it as "SSU rRNA". It matches the Rfam family "Bacterial small subunit ribosomal RNA", at positions 26 to 518 of the family's 1533-position model. The record is from RNAcentral.
AGAACGAACGCUGGCGGCAGGCCUCAAACAUGCAAGUCUAGGGGGCGUAGCAAUACGUCACCGGCGGACGGGUGCGUAACACGUGGGAAUGUACUUAUUGGUUCGGAACAACUCAGGGAAACUUGAGCUAAAUACCGAAUGUGCCCGAAAGGGGAAAGAUUUAUCGCCAAUAAAUCAGCCCGCGUCCGAUUAGCUAGUUGGUGGGGUAAAGGCCCACCAAGGCGACGAUCGGUAGCUGUUCUGAGAGGAAGAUCAGCCACACUGGGACUGAGACACGGCCCAGACUCCUACGGGAGGCAGCAGUUGGGAAUCUUGGACAAUGGGGGAAACCCUGAUCCAGCCAUGCCGCGUGAGUGAUGAAGGCCUUCGGGUUGUAAAACUCUUUCGACGGGGACGAUAAUGACGGUACCCGUAGAAGAAGCUCCGGCUAACUUCGCGCCAGCAGCCGC